GAUGAAUGCUGGCGGCGUGACUAAUCCCUGCAAGUCGUGCGAACGGACCCGUAGCUUGCUUGCCUGCUCAUAGCGGCCUACGUGUGAGUAACACGUGGAUAACCUACCUAUAAGACUGGGACACCUUCGGUCAACCGGUGCUAAUACCGGACCAUACUUUGACCCGCUUGGUUCAUGAGUGCUAGCCGGUUUUGCUUUCCCUUGUAGGUGGAUCCGCGCUUCUUUAGCUUGCUGGUAAGGUAACGGCUUACCAAGGCAGCGAUGCAUAGCCGACCGGAGAGGGUGAGCGGCCACACUGGAACUGAGACACGGUCCAGACUCCUACGGGAGGCAGCAGUAGGGAAUCUUCCGCAAUGGGCGAAAGCCUGACGGAGCAACGCCGCGUGAGUGAUGAAGGUCUUCGGAUCGUAAAACUCUGUUAUUAGGGAAGAACAUAUGUGUAAGUAACUGUGCACAUCUUGACGGUACCUAAUCAGAAAGCCACGGCUAACUACGUG
Molecule: ribosomal RNA, 497 nt
Filed under: uncultured bacterium
Lineage: Bacteria
Description: partial 16S ribosomal RNA
Rfam family: Bacterial small subunit ribosomal RNA
Source: RNAcentral